AACGUACGCUGGCAGCACGCCUAACACAUGCAAGUCGAACGCAGUAGCAAUACUGAGUGGCAGACGGGUGAGUAACAUGUGGGAAUCUGCCUUGUGGUUCAGGACAACAUUGGGAAACCGAUGCUAAUACUGGAUAAGCCCUUACGGGGAAAGUUUUAAUGCCAUAAGAUGAGCCCGCAUUUGAUUAGUUAGUUGGUGAGGUAAUGGCUCACCAAGACAAUGAUCAAUAGCUGAUCUGAGAGGAUGAUCAGCCACACUGGGACUGAGACACGGCCCAGACUCCUACGGGAGGCAGCAGUGGGGAAUCUUGCACAAUGGAGGAAACUCUGAUGCAGCGAUGCCGCGUGAGUGAAGAAGGCCUUUAGGUUGUAAAGCUCUUUUGUAGGGGAAGAUAAUGACUGUGCCCU
Molecule: ribosomal RNA, 407 nt
Filed under: uncultured bacterium
Lineage: Bacteria
Description: bacterial SSU rRNA
Rfam family: Bacterial small subunit ribosomal RNA
Source: RNAcentral